Molecule: ribosomal RNA, 507 nt
Filed under: Candida albicans
Lineage: Eukaryota; Fungi; Ascomycota; Pichiomycetes; Serinales; Debaryomycetaceae
Description: eukaryotic LSU rRNA
Rfam family: 5.8S ribosomal RNA (bases 140-293)
Source: RNAcentral
UAUGAAUGCUUAUUGCACCACAUGUGUUUUUCUUUGAAACAAACUUGCUUUGGCGGUGGGCCCAGCCUGCCGCCAGAGGUCUAAACUUACAACCAAUUUUUUAUCAACUUGUCACACCAGAUUAUUACUUAAUAGUCAAAACUUUCAACAACGGAUCUCUUGGUUCUCGCAUCGAUGAAGAACGCAGCGAAAUGCGAUACGUAAUAUGAAUUGCAGAUAUUCGUGAAUCAUCGAAUCUUUGAACGCACAUUGCGCCCUCUGGUAUUCCGGAGGGCAUGCCUGUUUGAGCGUCGUUUCUCCCUCAAACCGCUGGGUUUGGUGUUGAGCAAUACGACUUGGGUUUGCUUGAAAGACGGUAGUGGUAAGGCGGGAUCGCUUUGACAAUGGCUUAGGUCUAACCAAAAACAUUGCUUGCGGCGGUAACGUCUACCACGUAUAUCUUCAAACUUUGACCUCAAAUCAGGUAGGACUACCCGCUGAACUUAAGCAUAUCAAAAGCCGGAGGAA